Nilaparvata lugens (brown planthopper) is the source of this 687-nucleotide long non-coding RNA. RefSeq lists it as uncharacterized. The transcript has 3 exons. The record is from RefSeq and is a predicted model, not a curated record. NCBI's taxonomy places the organism in Eukaryota, Metazoa, Arthropoda, Insecta, Hemiptera, Delphacidae.
GAACUCUGCAUUGUUUAUGAUUAUGAUAAAGCUUUGUUUAUGAGAAAGUUGUCAUAAAGUAAUACGCGGGAUCGUUGUUAGUUUAAACUGUGCUUUGUUUAUAAAAAGGCAAAGCUUCACUAUUUCUUGAAUCUUUAUUUAUUGGAAGGAAAUUAAUUCUUAGUACUGUAUGCCAGUACUUCAUGGUUUUAAACAAUACUAAUCAUCGUAUUAAAGGCAAAUAAAGAUGUUUAACAGCAGCGCCAAACAGAGAGAUUAUGAGGAGAGACAGAGGGAGAUGAGUGCGUCGAGAAAAGCAGAGGAAAUGUCAAAAUUCAGCAGCAAUGGAUGGGAGAAAAAGGGUAUGGAGGAACAUUUCAAAACUGAAAUGGAAAGGGCUGAUUCAAGUUAUUACAAGUCCGGCAGUUCUGAAAAGGAGCAACAUUAUUGGUCUGUUCAGUAUGAAACGCAGCAGCAAAAUGUAGCAUAUGCAAUGUCUAAGAAAUAUGGUACAAACAUAAAAAAAUAAUAAUUCAAAAAAAAAUGAUUGUGCGAAUGGAACAAUCAAUAAAUUUGUGGAAGGAAGGGAUUUCAAAGUCUUCACUCCAACUCACAGAGCUUUUGGUAUUUUUUCAAAUGAAAAUUGAUUGCAGGUAAUCGAAAAUUAUAAAAUCGCUUUGUAUUAGAAUAAAUAAUGUGAACUGAAAA